GGGUAUGUAGCAAAAUGGUUAUGCAGCUGACUCUUAAUCAGCCCUACGGGAGUUCAAUCCUCCCCAUGCCCACCA
RNAcentral lists this transfer RNA (75 nucleotides) under Pectobacterium phage Arno162. Its description in RNAcentral is "tRNA-Lys". It matches the Rfam family "tRNA". From Rfam's summary of the family: Transfer RNA (tRNA) molecules are approximately 80 nucleotides in length. Their secondary structure includes four short double-helical elements and three loops (D, anti-codon, and T loops). Further hydrogen bonds mediate the characteristic L-shaped molecular structure. tRNAs have two regions of fundamental functional importance: the anti-codon, which is responsible for specific mRNA codon recognition, and the 3' end, to which the tRNAs corresponding amino acid is attached (by aminoacyl-tRNA synthetases). tRNAs cope with the degeneracy of the genetic code in two manners: having more than one tRNA (with a specific anti-codon) for a particular amino acid; and 'wobble' base-pairing, i.e. permitting non-standard base-pairing at the 3rd anti-codon position. The record is from RNAcentral. Lineage: Duplodnaviria; Heunggongvirae; Uroviricota; Caudoviricetes; Andersonviridae. RNAcentral also lists the same sequence under 1 other name.